CCAGACUCCUACGGGAGGCAGCAGUGAGGAAUAUUGGUCAAUGGUCGGGAGACUGAACCAGCCAAGCCGCGUGAGGGAUGAAGGUACAGAGUAUCGUAAACCUCUUUUGUCAGGGAACAAAGGCGGGGACGUGUCCCCGGAUGAGUGUACCUGAAGAAAAAGCAUCGGCUAACUCCGUGCCAGCAGCCGCGGUAAUACGGAGGAUGCGAGCGUUAUCCGGAUUUAUUGGGUUUAAAGGGUGCGUAGGCGGGCUGUUAAGUCAGCGGUCAAAUGUCGGGGCUCAACCCCGGCCUGCCGUUGAAACUGCAUCCCUUGAGUGCGCGAGAAGUAUGCGGAAUGCGUGGUGUAGCGGUGAAAUGCAUAGAUAUCACGCAGAACUCCGAUUGCGGAGGCAGCAUACCGGCGCUCAACUGACGCUCAUGCACGAAAGCGUGGGUAUCGAACAGGAUUAGAUACCCGCGUACA
RNAcentral lists this ribosomal RNA (465 nucleotides) under uncultured bacterium. Its description in RNAcentral is "bacterial SSU rRNA". It matches the Rfam family "Bacterial small subunit ribosomal RNA", at positions 331 to 794 of the family's 1533-position model. The record is from RNAcentral.